RNAcentral lists this ribosomal RNA (301 nucleotides) under uncultured bacterium. RNAcentral describes it as "partial 16S ribosomal RNA". It matches the Rfam family "Bacterial small subunit ribosomal RNA", at positions 509 to 809 of the family's 1533-position model. The record is from RNAcentral.
CAGUAGCCACGGUAAUACAGAGGGUGCAAGCGUUAAUCGGAAUUACUGGGCGUAAAGCGUGCGUAGACGGUUACAUAAGUCGGGUGUGAAGGCCCCGGGCUCAACCUGGGAAUGGCAAUGGAUACUGGCGAGCUAGAGUGUGUCAGAGGAUGGUGGAAUUCCCGGUGUAGCGGUGAAAUGCGUAGAGAUCGGGAGGAACACCGAUGGCGAAGGCAGCCCCCUGGGCCAAUACUGACGCUCAUGCACGAAAGCGUGGGGAGCAAACAGGAUUAGAUACCCCAGUAGUCCCUGUCUUUUAUAC